AGGUCUAACGCGGAUGGCUGUGAGUUGGCUUAAUCUCAGCUGGCAACUGUGAGAUGUUCAUACAAUCCCUCACAGUGGUCUCUGGGAUUACGCUAAACAGAGCAAUUUCCUUGCCCUCAUGAAGCAAAAGACUUGCAUGGCAACCAAAA
This 149-nucleotide microRNA precursor is filed under the name Chlorocebus sabaeus (green monkey). Its description in RNAcentral is "microRNA 216a (ENSCSAG00000022046.1)". The stretch from base 23 to 98 matches the Rfam family "mir-216 microRNA precursor family". Lineage: Eukaryota; Metazoa; Chordata; Mammalia; Primates; Cercopithecidae. The record is from RNAcentral.